RNAcentral lists this ribosomal RNA (676 nucleotides) under Salmonella enterica subsp. enterica serovar Panama. Its description in RNAcentral is "partial 23S ribosomal RNA". It matches the Rfam family "Bacterial large subunit ribosomal RNA", at positions 2211 to 2881 of the family's 2925-position model. RNAcentral also lists the same sequence under 1 other name. The record is from RNAcentral. Lineage: Bacteria; Pseudomonadati; Pseudomonadota; Gammaproteobacteria; Enterobacterales; Enterobacteriaceae.
UGUUUGAUGUUCUAACGUGGACCCGUGAUCCGGGUUGCGGACAGUGUCUGGUGGGUAGUUUGACUGGGGCGGUCUCCUCCUAAAGAGUAACGGAGGAGCACGAAGGUUGGCUAAUCCUGGUCGGACAUCAGGAGGUUAGUGCAAUGGCAUAAGCCAGCUUGACUGCGAGCGUGACGGCGCGAGCAGGUGCGAAAGCAGGUCAUAGUGAUCCGGUGGUUCUGAAUGGAAGGGCCAUCGCUCAACGGAUAAAAGGUACUCCGGGGAUAACAGGCUGAUACCGCCCAAGAGUUCAUAUCGACGGCGGUGUUUGGCACCUCGAUGUCGGCUCAUCACAUCCUGGGGCUGAAGUAGGUCCCAAGGGUAUGGCUGUUCGCCAUUUAAAGUGGUACGCGAGCUGGGUUUAGAACGUCGUGAGACAGUUCGGUCCCUAUCUGCCGUGGGCGCUGGAGAACUGAGGGGGGCUGCUCCUAGUACGAGAGGACCGGAGUGGACGCAUCACUGGUGUUCGGGUUGUCAUGCCAAUGGCACUGCCCGGUAGCUAAAUGCGGAAGAGAUAAGUGCUGAAAGCAUCUAAGCACGAAACUUGCCCCGAGAUGAGUUCUCCCUGAGACUUUAGGUCUCCUGAAGGAACGUUGAAGACGACGACGUUGAUAGGCCGGGUGUGUAAGCGCAGCGA